RNAcentral lists this unclassified non-coding RNA (378 nucleotides) under uncultured Alphaproteobacteria bacterium. Its description in RNAcentral is "contains 16S-23S intergenic spacer region". The record is from RNAcentral. Lineage: Bacteria; Pseudomonadati; Pseudomonadota; Alphaproteobacteria.
UCCGAGUUGACCCCGGCAGUCUCCCAUGAGUCCCCAACCAAAUGCUGGCAACACAGGACGAGGGUUGCGCUCGUUGCGGGACUUAACCCAACAUCUCACGACACGAGCUGACGACGGCCAUGCAGCACCUGUGUUCCCGCCAGCCGAACUGAAGGAUCCCGUCUCCAGGACCCAUACGGGACAUGUCAAGGGUUGGUAAGGUUCUGCGCGUUGCUUCGAAUUAAACCACAUGCUCCACCGCUUGUGCGGGCCCCCGUCAAUUCCUUUGAGUUUCAGUCUUGCGACCGUACUCCCCAGGCGGAGUGCUUAAUGCGUUGGCUGCGACACAGAAGGCUGAACCCCCUGCGUCUAGCGCACAUCGUUUACGGCGUGGACUAC